Molecule: long non-coding RNA, 1207 nt
Filed under: Equus caballus (horse)
Lineage: Eukaryota; Metazoa; Chordata; Mammalia; Perissodactyla; Equidae
Description: lncRNA (ENSECAG00000056850.1)
Source: RNAcentral
GCUCCAUUUUAGGGAAAGUUAUAAUUUACAUUGUUCAAAGCUACUGCCUGGCAUAUCUAUUAGACUUCAUAAUUAUUUUGUGGAGGUGGGAGAUGGAAAGAUUAAAAAAACCAAUUCAUGCCAAAGAAAGACCUCCAUGGAUAAGAUCGUUAGCUCUGUAAAAAUGGUAUGAAAAAGAACAUGAGAUGUCAUGUAUUUUAUUAGGAUAACACACUUAAGAUGUAAUAUCAAGUUUUGAGCCAAAACCAGAUAGCGUAACUUUUAGACAUUCUUUCAUCAUUAUGAAGUAAUUUAGAGCCGAAGCAGGGGUGGCUAAUACAGCCUGCAGGCCAGAUUAAGCCCACAAGGAUAUUUCAUCCAUACUUGGCUCCCACUGCGAACAAGCAACAACGUUCAGCUUGGGUGGAAGCUGCCUCACCAACUCUAUUGGUGCUCAGAGCCCUGCCAGUGCCAACUAGCUGCGGAGAGAUGGGAGAGGCCAGAUUCACAGGCCCUUCUGCCUGGUAUCCCACAGGACUCUACGAUUCAGUCCUGCCUGCCACAAACCCUGCAUUGGCAGGUCCAGCUUACAAAAGAAACGAGUGAAAGAAUAAGACAUAGAAAGUUAUAGAAGGCUUCAGAACGUGCACAAUCAAGAUGAAUAUAUUCCUGGUCCAGGAGCUCAGAAAAAGGCAUCAUCUUAAAUGUAUUUCUUAUUAUUGGCUCAGAAUUUUUGUGUCCUGGAAGUAGUACGUAUGCAUGAGACACACACGAUGGAGGCGGCUUUGUGGUUUCACAGAUUUAUUUUUUAUUUUUUUAUUAAGAUUUUAUUAUUUUUUUCCUUUUUCUCCCCAAAGCCCCCAGUACAUAGUUGUAUAUUCUUUGUUGUGGGUCCUUCUAGUUGUGGCAUGUGGGACACCGCCCCAGCAUGGCUCAAUGAGUGGUGCCAUGUCCGCACCCAGGAUUCGAACCGAUGAAGCACUGGGCCGCCUGCAGUGGAGCACGUGAACUUAACCUCUCGGCCAUGGGGCCAGCCCCCACAAUUUGGAUUUUAAUGAAAUAAAAAAUGUCUGACGUGCUUGACUGUAUCAUCACAUAAGAAAAUUUGGAAACAAAUGUCUACAAACACUGAACUUUGCUCUCUUUCUGUUGAGAGGGAAGGAAGAAAGCAGUGUUGGUUUUCACACUGAGACUAACAGUAUGACAAAAAGCUGUAUACGAAAUAAAU